GAUGAACGCUGGCGGCGUGCUUAACACAUGCAAGUCGAACGAAGCACUUAUCUUUGAUUCUUCGGAUGAAGAGGUUUGUGACUGAGUGGCGGACGGGUGAGUAACGCGUGGGUAACCUGCCUCAUACAGGGGGAUAACAGUUAGAAAUGACUGCUAAUACCGCAUAAGACCACGGAGCCGCAUGGCUCAGUGGGAAAAACUCCGGUGGUAUGAGAUGGACCCGCGUCUGAUUAGGUAGUUGGUGGGGUAACGGCCUACCAAGCCAACGAUCAGUAGCCGACCUGAGAGGGUGACCGGCCACAUUGGGACUGAGACACAGCCCAAACUCCUACGGGAGGCAGCAGUGGGGAAUAUUGCACAAUGGGGGAAACCCUGAUGCAGCGACGCCGCGUGAGCGAAGAAGUAUUUCGGUAUGUAAAGCUCUAUCAGCAGGGAAGAAAAUGACGGUACCUGACUAAGAAGCACCGGCUAAAUACGUG
Molecule: ribosomal RNA, 479 nt
Filed under: uncultured bacterium
Lineage: Bacteria
Description: partial 16S ribosomal RNA
Rfam family: Bacterial small subunit ribosomal RNA
Source: RNAcentral